GCCAGGGUUCUGAAUUAAACUAUUCUUUGU
RNAcentral lists this transfer RNA (30 nucleotides) under Halichoeres californicus. Its description in RNAcentral is "Oxyjulis californica partial tRNA-Pro". Lineage: Eukaryota; Metazoa; Chordata; Actinopteri; Labriformes; Labridae. The record is from RNAcentral.